GGAGCAGGAACUGGUUCAGCACAAUAGAUAGUGUUUUUGCCCAUUGACAGAAACAAGGGUUUGGCAGCCAGACAAGCAUCCUCAGAGCCACCAACCAUAAAAGUGAGAGUACCCGCUUCUGCAGCAAGAACACCUCCGGACACAGGAGCAUCCAACAUGACAGGUUUCUCCCAAAAACCUUUCUUUUCUUUUAAAAGGAAGUUGGAUACAGCUGCAGAAACCUUUCUUGAU
RNAcentral lists this unclassified non-coding RNA (231 nucleotides) under Hevea brasiliensis (rubber tree). Lineage: Eukaryota; Viridiplantae; Streptophyta; Magnoliopsida; Malpighiales; Euphorbiaceae. The record is from RNAcentral.